AAUAUUAGCUUUACUGUCCCCAACUACUAAAAGACAGGUACGACAAUUGCUAGGGCUGACCGGAUACUGUAGACAAUGGACAGAAGAUUAUAGUGGGAAGGUUAAAUUUUUGUACAAUAAGCUGAAUAAGGACGGAUUACUCAAAUGGACAAAAGAUGAUGAGGAGCAAUUAGAGAAAUUAAAGGAAGAACUUAUGCAUCCACCAGUUUUGAGUUUUCCAGAGUUAAAGAAACCAUUUUUCCUGUUUGUGAAUAGCACCGAAGGGACUGCCUACGGUGUGCUUGCCCAAGAGUGGGCAGACAGUAAAAAACCGGUGGCCUAUUUAUCCAAACUGCUAGACCCCGUUAGUAGAGGUUGGCCUAGCUGUUUGCAAGUUGUGGUGGCAGCUGCCCUAUUAGUGGAGGAAGCUCAAAAGAUUACGUUUGGGGGAGAAAUCAGGGUUAUAUCCCCCCACAAUAUACGUGGAGUGCUGCAACAAAAAGCUGAAAAGUGGAUCACAGAUGCAAGGCUGCUGAAAUAUGAAGGAAUUUUGAUAUCUUCACCCAAAUUAACACUAGAAACAACCUCAGUACAGAACCCUGCUCAAUUUCUUUAUGGUGAAUCGAGAGAGAAGCUCGAACAUGAUUGUCUUAGAAAUAUAGAAGAACAGGUAAAAUUAAGACCUGACUUAGAAGAUGUGGAAUUACCCUCAGGGGAGCAGAUAUACGUGGAUGGAUCCUCAAGGGUAAUUGAAGGUAAAAGAAAAUCGGGAUACGCAUUGGUUAAUGGAAAAACAUUCGAGGUAAUAGAAUCAGGCCCUUUGAGUCCGAGUUGGUCAGCACAGGCCUGCGAGUUGUAUGCUAUGUUAAGGGCUCUAAAGUUGUUAAAAAAAUAAAAGCGGAACAAUAUAUACAGAUUCAAAAUAUGCAUAUGGAAUAAUCCAUACAUUUGGAAAAAUAUGGGAAGAAAGGGGACUAAUUAAUUCUCAAGGAAAAGGACUGAUUCACGAGGAACUAAUUAUCCAAGUUUUACAAGCUGUAAGGGAACCAAAAAACAUUGCUGUGGUACAUGUCAAGGGACAUCAGAAGGGAACAAACCCUCAAAUUAGGGGAAAUAAUUUGGCAGACCAGGAGGCAAAACGAGCAGCACUCAUGUGUGUAUAUGAAAUAGCUAAGAGGGCGGACUGUCCGAGUUGCGGCAGGGGGAAGGAUUUAAAGAAAUUCCCCUGCUAUGAUUGCUGGAGUGAGUGGGGAGUCGAGGGAAUAGAGUGCAACUGCUCUGAAAAAGAAACACCUCCUUAUAAAAAUUGUUACAAGUGUGGACCGGCUCAAUCGCUGUGGUCGAAUGGGCCUAUU
Cygnus olor (mute swan) is the source of this 1334-nucleotide long non-coding RNA. RefSeq lists it as uncharacterized. The record is from RefSeq and is a predicted model, not a curated record. Lineage: Eukaryota; Metazoa; Chordata; Aves; Anseriformes; Anatidae. The transcript is spliced from 3 exons.